This 420-nucleotide ribosomal RNA is filed under the name Gyraulus sp. 17106. Its description in RNAcentral is "partial large subunit ribosomal RNA". It matches the Rfam family "Archaeal large subunit ribosomal RNA", at positions 1909 to 2665 of the family's 2987-position model. The record is from RNAcentral. Lineage: Eukaryota; Metazoa; Mollusca; Gastropoda; Planorbidae.
AGUUUUAUGAUACUUAUAUAAAAUAACUUCUGCCCAGUGUCUAAAAAGAUAAAUGGCCGCAGUACCUUGACUGUGCUAAGGUAGCAUAAUCAAUUGGCUUUUAAUUGAAGUCUAGAAUGAAUGGGAAAAUGGAAUUUAGCUGUCUUAAUUUUUUUAAUUAAAAUUUAUUUAUAAGGUGAAAAUACCUUAAAAUUAAAUAAAGACGAGAAGACCCUAUGAAUUUUUAAAUGUAUUUUUGUUGGGGCGACAGUUUAAAAAAUAAUCUUAAAUUUAUAACAUAUAACGAAUUUUUUAAUAAAAAUUAAAUUACCUUAGGGAUAACAGCAUUAUUAUUAAAAUAGUUUGUGACCUCGAUGUUGGACUAGGAACUAAAAGGCUAACCGUCUUUAUAGAUUUGUUCUGUUCGAACAAUUUAAUCCU